Long non-coding RNA from Oreochromis niloticus (Nile tilapia), 311 nucleotides. RefSeq lists it as uncharacterized. NCBI's taxonomy places the organism in Eukaryota, Metazoa, Chordata, Actinopteri, Cichliformes, Cichlidae. The record is from RefSeq and is a predicted model, not a curated record. The transcript is spliced from 5 exons.
CACGGAGUUUCUCUCGGUUUGUGGGCUCAUCUAAAGCUCGCCUCUCCCCCACUGUGGUUCUAGUGUCCUCGCUGCUGGAGGGAUGGUGGCUGAGACUCAGCGGAGUGGAGUCCAAAGAGGGAGAGAGGAAAGAGGAGAGAGAAAGAACAAGUUCAGGAAGAACCAGCUGAGUAACAGGAGUCUGGUGGAGCAGCAGAAGAACAAUUUUGGACUCAACCACUACAGAGGAGACAAUGACUUCAACACAGAAGGACCAACACGGAGCGAGAAGUCAGCGCUCUCAGGAGGCCGACAAACCUCACAGAAGAAAG